UACGGAGGGUGCAAGCAUUAAUCGGAUUUAUUGGGCGUAAAGGGCGCGUAGGCGGAAAGGUAAGUCAGAUGUGAAAUCCCGGGGCUCAACCUCGGAACAGCAUUUGAAACUCCCUUCCUUGAGGGUAGGCGGAGAAAACGGAAUUCCACAAGUAGCGGUGAAAUGCGUAGAUAUGUGGAAGAACACCGGUGGCGAAGGCGGUUUUCUAGCUUAUUCCUGACGCUGAGGCGCGAGAGCAAGGGGAUCAAACAGG
RNAcentral lists this ribosomal RNA (253 nucleotides) under uncultured bacterium. Its description in RNAcentral is "partial 16S ribosomal RNA". It matches the Rfam family "Bacterial small subunit ribosomal RNA", at positions 524 to 776 of the family's 1533-position model. The record is from RNAcentral.